CUACGGGAGGCAGCAGUGAGGAAUAUUGCACAAUGGAGGAAACUCUGAUGCAGCGACGCCGCGUGGAGGAUGACGCAUUUCGGUGUGUAAACUCCUUUUAUAUGUCAAGAAAAUGACGGUAGCAUAUGAAUAAGCACCGGCUAACUCCGUGCCAGCAGCCGCGGUAAUACGGAGGGUGCAAGCGUUACUCGGGAUCACUGGGCGUAAAGGACGCGUAGGCGGGUUGGAAAGUCAGGUGUGAAAUCCUACAGCUUAACUGUAGAACUGCACUUGAAACUUCUAAUCUAGAGUAUGGGAGGGGGAGAUGGAAUUAGUGGUGUAGGGGUAAAAUCCGUAGAUAUCACUAGGAAUACCUAAAGCGAAGGCGAUCUCCUGGAACAUUACUGACGCUAAGGCGUGAAAGCGUGGGGAGCAAACAGGAUUAGAUACCCUUGUAGUC
This 439-nucleotide ribosomal RNA is filed under the name uncultured bacterium. RNAcentral describes it as "partial 16S ribosomal RNA". It matches the Rfam family "Bacterial small subunit ribosomal RNA", at positions 339 to 795 of the family's 1533-position model. The record is from RNAcentral.